CACUAUCGAAAACCUGGCACAGCAGUUGGUUUCCCAGUGUUCUCGAUUCCUCCAUGUCCUUGGUUCCCAAAACUGAGAAAAACGACGUCCCCGUCGUCGACAUUGAUAGCGACGGCGACGACGGCGUCACUGUAGCUUCGGCCAUUAAAGACGAGUUGUCGCAGAAGAUUCCAUCGUCUCAAGUCGAGCUUGUGCAGCAAGAAACCCCUGUCUCCAGUUCCGCUCUUUCUGUCUCCGACGGCCGGUUUAGAAGUUUCUGGAAAGCCGGGGAUUACGCUGUUGGUCCCUCUUCGAAGCCCACUGCCUUUCAAGGUCACUUAGAGCAUGCCCGGGUGCACCCCAAGUUUCUGCAUUCUAAUGCGACUUCCCAUAAAUGGGCUUUUGGAGCAAUUGCUGAGCUUGUGGAUAAUGCUGUUGAUGAGAUUCAAAAUGGUGCAACUUUUAUAAAGAUUGACAAGUUUGAUGUCAAGAAGGAUAAUUCACCAGCAUUAUGUUUCCUAGAUGAUGGUGGUGGAAUGGACCCUAGCUCAAUUCGAAAAUGCAUGAGCUUGGGUUAUUCAUCAAAGAAGUCAAAGACAACAAUUGGACAAUAUGGCAAUGGAUUCAAGACUAGUACCAUGAGACUGGGUGCUGAUGUUAUCGUUUUCAGUAGGGCAAGGCAUUUGGGCCGGGCAACACAAAGUGUGGGUUUACUAUCCUAUACCUUUUUGCGGAGAACUGGGCAAGAUGAUGUAGUUGUUCCAAUGAUAGAUUUUGACACAUCUGGCCAUUGGCCUGAGCCAAUUGUAUAUAGCUCACAGGAUGAAUGGACAGCGAACUUGAAAACAAUUCUUGAUUGGUCUCCUUUCACAUCAAAGGAGGAGCUCAUGCUUCAGUUUGAUGAUAUAGGAUCACAUGGAACCAAAGUUUUAAUAUACAAUUUGUGGUUGAAUGAUGAAGGGAUAUAUGAACUGACUUUUGAUGAUGAUAUGGAGGAUAUUAUGCUGAGAGAUGAGGCCAGCCAUGGGGCUGAGAAAAAAUUGAACAAAAAAACUGUUCUGCUUCAGUCUCAUAUUUCUUACCGCCUUCGUUAUUCUUUACGGGCAUAUGUUUCCAUGUUGUACCUCAGAAAAUUCUCCAACUUCAAAAUCAUACUAAGGGGUAAACUUGUGGAUCAGUACAACAUAGCAGAUAACUUGAUACAUUCAAAAGUAAUUCCGUAUAGGCCUCAGCUAGCCAUUGCAUCAAAUGAGGCCGCAGCAGAGACAAAGACAACCAUUGGAUUUAUAAAGGAGGCACCUUCUAUCAAGGUUACUGGAUUUAAUGUCUACCACAAAAAUCGCCUAAUCAAGCCCUUCUGGAAAGUUGUUGCCGAUGGUUCAUCAAAAGGGAGCUGUGUUGUUGGAGUUCUUGAAGCCAAUUUUAUAGAACCAGCGCAUGACAAGCAGGAUUUUGAGAGAUCAGUUCUGUUCAUUCGGUUGGAAAACAAGAUGAAACAAAUGACAAUGGAUUACUGGAAAGGCCACUGUCACUUGAUUGGAUAUCAGCCCCUAGAUUUCAGAUCACAAAAUGUUGUAAAAGAAGCCCAGAUACGAAAAUCAGCUGAACAUUCAACUAAUCCACAGAAUGAAUUGCCCUCUGACCAACAGUUUACUGGUGUUGUACCUGAGCAUCGAAACACCCUGAGUUUAAAUCAAACAAUUGUUGAUCUUGAUGUGACUGGCGUGCAAGAUUUAAGUCACGAGCAACUUGGUACAGUGGUGGAAACUCUACAGUCUGUAUCUGUUGAUGAAAUCUGUGCAGAAAACAUAAAACUUUUUGAGAGGUGUGAGGAGUACAGGCUAAAGGAGACACAACUGAAAAAGAUGGUUGUGGACUUGGAGGAGGAAUAUAAACAAAUCCAGAAGAAAUGUGCCGUUCUUGCUUCACUCUUGGAGACCAAGAGGAAGGAGAAGCGUGCUAAGGGAUGAUGGUUACACUACACAAGAAUCAUGUCAAUAAGAGGCAAGUUGAUUGCGUUUCGUAAUUACCUUUCAAGUAAUGUCUUAGUGUUAUAUGUUUCUGCUGUUUUUGUCAAAGAAUCAAAUCAGAUAAUUUGUCCUUGUGGAAAAGGGUUUCGAAGAGCGAAGACGACUUGUUUAAACAUCAAAAGAAUAAGAUAAUUUGUCCUUGUGGAAUAGGGUUUCGAAGAGCAAAGAGGACUUGUUUAAACAUCAAAAUCCUGAUUAUGAUACAAUUCAUCAAAUGACUAGGAUUAUUAGGCUACACUAAUACCAUUUUAGUAGUAAUUGUAAAAAAUAUUGUAAACACAAUUUAUAAAUCUUGUAUGCUUUUUACUAUGUCAGUGCCAUAUUUUCGCUACGGAAGUUAAUAUGCAAAGGACAUUUAUUCAGGUGUUUU
Vigna unguiculata (cowpea) is the source of this 2379-nucleotide RNA transcript. It is a transcript of the gene named protein MICRORCHIDIA 1-like, with no coding region annotated. The record is from RefSeq and is a predicted model, not a curated record. Lineage: Eukaryota; Viridiplantae; Streptophyta; Magnoliopsida; Fabales; Fabaceae.